Ribosomal RNA from Cricetulus griseus (Chinese hamster), 117 nucleotides. The record is from Ensembl. Lineage: Eukaryota; Metazoa; Chordata; Mammalia; Rodentia; Cricetidae.
GUCUACGGUCAGACCACCCUGAAUGCGCCCAAUCUUGUCUGAUCUUGGAAGCUAAGCAGGGUUGGGCCUGAUUAGUACUUUGAUGGGAGAAAUAUAAAUUCUUGGUCAAUGUAAAUU